AGUGAACGCUGGCGGUAGGCCUAACACAUGCAAGUCGAACGGCAGCACAGUAAGAGCUUGCCCUUACGGGUGGCGAGUGGCGGACGGGUGAGGAAUACAUCGGAAUCUACUUUUUUGUGGGGGAUAACGUAGGGAAACUUACGCUAAUACCGCAUACGACCUACGGGUGAAAGCAGGGGAUCUUCGGACCUUGCGCGAUUGAAUGAGCCGAUGUCGGAUUAGCUAGUUGGCGGGGUAAAGGCCCACCAAGGCGACGAUCCGUAGCUGGUCUGAGAGGAUGAUCAGCCACACUGGAACUGAGACACGGUCCAGACUCCUACGGGAGGCAGCAGUGGGGAAUAUUGGACAAUGGGCGCAAGCCUGAUCCAGCCAUACCGCGUGGGUGAAGAAGGCCUUCGGGUUGUAAAGCCCUUUUGUUGGGAAAGAAAAGCAGCAGGUUAAUACCCCGCUGUUCUGACGGUACCCAAAGAAUAAGCACCGGCUAACUUCGUG
RNAcentral lists this ribosomal RNA (492 nucleotides) under uncultured bacterium. Its description in RNAcentral is "partial 16S ribosomal RNA". It matches the Rfam family "Bacterial small subunit ribosomal RNA", at positions 29 to 507 of the family's 1533-position model. The record is from RNAcentral.